This 403-nucleotide ribosomal RNA is filed under the name bacterium Ellin6056. RNAcentral's name for it is "bacterial SSU rRNA". It matches the Rfam family "Bacterial small subunit ribosomal RNA", at positions 29 to 457 of the family's 1533-position model. Lineage: Bacteria; Pseudomonadati; Pseudomonadota; Alphaproteobacteria; Hyphomicrobiales; Nitrobacteraceae. The record is from RNAcentral.
AGCGAACGCUGGCGGCAGGCUUAACACAUGCAAGUCGAGCGGGCGUAGCAAUACGUCAGCGGCAGACGGGUGAGUAACGCGUGGGAACAUACCUCUUGGUUCGGAACAACACAGGGAAACUUGUGUUAAUACCGGAUAAGCCCUUACGGGGAAAGAUUUAUCGCCGAGAGAUUGGCCCGCGUCUGAUUAGCUAGUUGGUAGGGUAAUGGCCUACCAAGGCGACGAUCAGUAGCUGGUCUGAGAGGAUGAUCAGCCACAUUGGGACUGAGACACGGCCCAAACUCCUACGGGAGGCAGCAGUGGGGAAUAUUGGACAAUGGGGGCAACCCUGAUCCAGCCAUGCCGCGUGAGUAAUGAAGGCCCUAGGGKUGUAAAGCUCUUUUGUCAGGGAAGAUAGUGCGGU